CAAGUAUGUUUUCAUCUCAAUGUUGGACAAAAAGAAACCUCUACAAGACCAGAGAAGAUGUGCUAUCACGUGACAAGAGAAGAAGUUAGAGAAGCUAGAGAAGAGAGCAAGUAUGAAAAAGCCUCGACUCUGGACAACAGAACGCUGCUGUAAACUGUGACAAGGUGUGCAUCCACCUGCGUCACCACAAACCUCACUAUCACAGGGACUUCAAUGCCACAAUAGGAGCAACAACAGUUUGAGGUUCUCAGAUUUUUUUAGAGCCGCAAUCGAAUCCACCAUUAGUUAAACGAGGAACACCCCCUAAUCUUUAGUGAUGAGUGGGUCAGACUUCAAGCAGCCGGGGUAGUUGUAGGAACAUGUGACGAAUGGAGAAGUACCACAUCGUCCCAGAGCAGACUUAUGAAGAAGUAAACAUGGAGUUGUCCUGCGUUCAGUGGAAAAGGAAAUGUGCUGGUUCGAGGCUCGGGGGCCAUGUUUUGAAACAGUGACCUCAUCCUCACCGCCCACCACCCUUUUCCUGAGAAAAGUCAAUCUGACAGACGAUGAAGGAGUGAAAGCCGACAUCCUCUCUCACUGACAGCAACUUUUACUAUCCGACUGUUUUACAUGAGAAAAAACCCAUUCAGAACCACACACACACACACACACACACACACACACACAC
Perca fluviatilis (European perch) is the source of this 667-nucleotide long non-coding RNA. RefSeq lists it as uncharacterized. Lineage: Eukaryota; Metazoa; Chordata; Actinopteri; Perciformes; Percidae. The transcript has 3 exons. The record is from RefSeq and is a predicted model, not a curated record.